CAUCUGGGACUCCUGUCCUUAACGUUCCAGCCAGGCCAACACUGUCUUUUAUGCCAGCUCUUCCGCUGUCACCCUUGUUGUGCUGGGGUCUGCCUCAGGUGACGUCCUUGGGAGGACCCUGAGGGUCACCCUCUGAGGACUGAUGGAGGUCACCCUGUGAGGACUGACACAGGUCACCCUGUGAGGACUGACAGAGAUCACCCUCUCAGGACCCUGACACAGGUCACCCUGUGAGGACUGACGGAGGUCACCCUCUCAGGACUGACGGAGGUCACCCUCUCAGGACUGACAGAGGUCACCCUCUGAGGACCCUGAGAGAGGUCACCCUGUGAGGACUGACGGAGGUCACCCUCUGAGGACUGACGGAGGUCACCCUCUGAGGACUGACACAGGUCACCCUGUGAGGACUGACGGAGGUCACCCUCUCAGGACUGACGCAGGUCACCCUCUGAGGACUGACGGAGGUCACCCUCUCAGGACUGACGCAGGUCUCCCUCUGAGGACUGACGGAGGUCACCCUCU
Oryctolagus cuniculus (rabbit) is the source of this 522-nucleotide non-coding RNA. The record is from RefSeq and is a predicted model, not a curated record. NCBI's taxonomy places the organism in Eukaryota, Metazoa, Chordata, Mammalia, Lagomorpha, Leporidae.